This 1260-nucleotide long non-coding RNA is filed under the name Felis catus (domestic cat). Its description in RNAcentral is "lncRNA (ENSFCAG00000052578.1)". Lineage: Eukaryota; Metazoa; Chordata; Mammalia; Carnivora; Felidae. The record is from RNAcentral.
CACCAACCCGGCAUGGGGGUCCCCGAACCACCAACCCGGCAUGGGGGUCCCCGAACCACAACAUGCACGGGGGUCCCCGAACCACCAACCCGGCAUGGGGGUCCCCGAACCACCAACCCGGCAUGGGGGUCCCCGAACCACCAACCCGGCAUGGGGGUCCCCGAACCACCAACCCGGCAUGGGGGUCCCCGAACCACCAACCCGGCAUGGGGGUCCCCGAACCACAACAUGCACAGGGCUCCCUGAACCACAAAUCCACAUGGGGUCACCCCCACAACACACACGGGGGUCCCUGAACCACCAACCCGGCAUGGGGGUCCCCGAACCACCAACCCGGCAUGGGGGUCCCCGAACCACCAACCCGGCAUGGGGGUCCCCGAACCACCAACCCGGCAUGGGGGUCCCCGAACCACCAACCCGGCAUGGGGGUCCCCGAACCACCAACCCGGCAUGGGGGUCCCCGAACCACAACAUGCACAGGGCUCCCUGAACCACAAAUCCACAUGGGGUCACCCCCACAACACACACGGGGGUCCCUGAACCACCAACCCGGCAUGGGGGUCCCCGAACCACCAACCCGGCAUGGGGGUCCCCGAACCACAAACUCACAGGGGGUCACCCCCACAACACACACGGGGGUCUCUGAACCACAAACCCACAGGGGGUCACCCCCACAACAUGCACGGGGGUCCCCGAACCACAAACUCACAGGGGGUCACCCCCACAACACGCACAGGGGGGUCCCUGAACCACCAACCCGGCAUGGGGGUCCCCGAACCACAACAUGCACAGGGCUCCCUGAAUCACAAACGCACAGGGGGUAACCCCCACAACACGCACGGGGAUCCCCGAACCACCAACCCGGCACGGGGGUUCCUUCUCGGGUACUCAGCCCUCCUCGCUGUAACUUCCACCCGGCAAAGUCCUCUCCCAAGGACCCUGGACUUGGUCAUUCCGCUCACUUUGGACAAAUCAGCAAGCACAAAGGACCACAGAAAUUCGAUGCAGGAGGCCAUCACAUCAGGGGACGCAUGUGUCCAGACGCCGAAGAGAAGGCAACGCUCCGCACCUCGGCAUCACCCUGGACGGACCGAGCACCGGGCCGGGCACACGCGAGUCAGAUCCGCUCUGCCGCACGAGCCCUGGGCGUGCGAGUCCUCACAGCUGGUCCCUUCUCUCGACCACAAAAUGAGUCAUUUGCACCGUGGCUGUCUGAGUUCUAAAGGAGAGAAGGCGGCCGAGUAUCGAAGCUGCUUUUAA